Molecule: ribosomal RNA, 466 nt
Filed under: uncultured bacterium
Lineage: Bacteria
Description: partial 16S ribosomal RNA
Rfam family: Bacterial small subunit ribosomal RNA
Source: RNAcentral
ACGAACGCUGGCGGCGUGCUUAACACAUGCAAGUCGAACGGAAAGGCCUCUUUCGGGGGGUACUCGAGUGGCGAACGGGUGAGUAACACGUGAGUAACCUGCCCUUGACUUUGGGAUAACUUCAGGAAACUGGGGCUAAUACCGGAUAGGAGCUCCUGCUGCAUGGUGGGGGUUGGAAAGUUUCGGCGGUUGGGGAUGGACUCGCGGCUUAUCAGCUUGUUGGUGGGGUAGUGGCUUACCAAGGCUUUGACGGGUAGCCGGCCUGAGAGGGUGACCGGCCACAUUGGGACUGAGAUGCGGCCCAGACUCCUACGGGAGGCAGCAGUGGGGAAUAUUGCACAAUGGGUGGAAGCCUGAUGCAGCAACGCCGUGUGCGGGAUGACGGCCUUCGGGUUGUAAACCGCUUUCGCUCAUGACGAAGCUUUGUGUGACGGUAGUGGGUAAAGAAGCACCGGCUAACUACGUG